CCUACGGGAGGCAGCAGUGAGGAAUNNUGCGCAAUGGGGGCAACCCUGACGCAGCAACGCCGCGUGAGUGAGGAAGGUUUUCGGACCGUAAAGCUCUGUCGAGCGGGAAGAAAUGCAUAGNNGCUAAUAUCCAUUAUGCUUGACGGUACCGUAAAGGAAGCACCGGCAANUCCGG
RNAcentral lists this ribosomal RNA (175 nucleotides) under uncultured bacterium. RNAcentral's name for it is "partial 16S ribosomal RNA". It matches the Rfam family "Bacterial small subunit ribosomal RNA", at positions 338 to 505 of the family's 1533-position model. The record is from RNAcentral.